This 457-nucleotide ribosomal RNA is filed under the name uncultured bacterium. Its description in RNAcentral is "partial 16S ribosomal RNA". It matches the Rfam family "Bacterial small subunit ribosomal RNA", at positions 338 to 794 of the family's 1533-position model. The record is from RNAcentral.
CCUACGGGGGGCAGCAGUGAGGAAUAUUGGUCAAUGGGCGAGAGCCUGAACCAGCCAAGUCGCGUGAGGGAGUACUGCCCUAUGGGUUGUAAACCUCUUUUGUCGGGGAGCAAAAGCCGGACGUGUCCGGCUGUGAGAGUACCCGCAGAAAAAGCAUCGGCUAACUCCGUGCCAGCAGCCGCGGUAAUACGGAGGAUGCGAGCGUUAUCCGGAUUUAUUGGGGUUAAAGGGUGCGCAGGCGGAUUUUUAAGUCAGCGGUCAAAUCGUGGGGCUCAACCCCAUCCAGCCGUUGAAACUGGGGAUCUAGAGUGUGCGAGAGGUAUGCGGAAUGCGUGGUGUAGCGGUGAAAUGCAUAGAUAUCACGCAGAACCCCGAUUGCGAAGGCAGCAUACCGGUGCACAACUGACGCUCAGGCACGAAAGCGUGGGUAUCGAACAGGAUUAGAUACCCCAGUAGU